UUCCGGAGAGAGAGCCUGAGAAACGGCUACCACAUCUAAGGAAGGCAGCAGGCGCGUAAAUUACCCAAUCCUAAUUCAGGGAGGUAGUGACAAGAAAUAAGAACCUGGGGGAUUUUUAUCCUUACGGGAUUGCAAUGAGAACAAUUUAAAGCACUUAUCGAUGAACAAUUGGAGGGCAAGUCUGGUGCCAGCAGCCGCGGUAAUUCCAGCUCCAAUAACGUAUAUUAAAGUUGUUGCUGUUAAAAAGCUCGUAGUUGAACUUCUAUAUAUGCCCGGUUCUGGCUUCGGUCAAGCCGCUGGUGUGUAUAUUCGCUUGCAAACCUAGUCCGGCCUUCACUGGUCGACUAGGGGAGUAGGCCUUUUACUGUGAAAAAAUUAGAGUGUUUCAAGCAAGCAAUGGCGUGAAUACAUUAGCAUGGAAUAAUGGAAUAGGACUUUUGUCCAUUUGGUUGGUUAUUGGACAUAGGUAAUGAUUAACAGGGACAGUUGGGGGCAUUAGUACUUAAUUGUCAGAGGUGAAAUUCUUGGAUUUAUUAAAGACUAACUUAUGCGAAAGCAUUUGCCA
RNAcentral lists this ribosomal RNA (565 nucleotides) under uncultured ciliate. RNAcentral describes it as "SSU rRNA". It matches the Rfam family "Eukaryotic small subunit ribosomal RNA", at positions 381 to 960 of the family's 1831-position model. Lineage: Eukaryota; Ciliophora. The record is from RNAcentral.